This is a non-coding RNA of Elaeis guineensis (African oil palm), 624 nucleotides long. NCBI's taxonomy places the organism in Eukaryota, Viridiplantae, Streptophyta, Magnoliopsida, Arecales, Arecaceae. The record is from RefSeq and is a predicted model, not a curated record.
CAAUUCUUCUACCUCGAAUCCAUGCGACCACCAGCAGUGCUCUCCAGAGAUUCGAAUCGAGACUCGUCUCCGGCCACAUCUUGCUCUCCCUCGCCGUCUUCCACUGUCGCCGCCCCCUCCACCGGAACUCUAACCCUAGAAGAUCCGAAGGAUUCCAGCGUCGACGGCACGAUGGCUGGGUCCUUUUCCGUCGCGCGAAAGGAGACGCUUUUGGGGACCAUAUAUCGCAGGAUUUGAACUCUGGACCUCUUCAAAGAGCAAGCCAUUACCGAGAGGUGUCAACCAAUUGACCUAUGGCAAUAAACCUUUAUUUAUUGUUCGAACACUUCUUAACUAUAUGACCUGUAAAUUUCAUGCUCUUGCUUUUGUAAUAAAAGAACUGCAAUUGACUUAUGGCAAUAAACCUUUAUUUAUUGUUUGAACACUUCUUGACUAUAUGACCUGUAAAUUUCAUGCUGCUUUUGUAAUAAAAGAACUGCUUCUUCUUCUCCUCCUCCUCCUCCUUUCCUAGGAUUUGAGCCUUGGAUCACCUCCAUGGGCAAACACUUAAGGGAGAGGUGCCAACCAACUCAUCUAACAAUUGUUGGUGAUAAAACUUCAUUUAUUGAUUGAACUUUUUAACUA